CUUCAUUUUGUAGAUAAUCAAUGUUGACAAUGUUCAAGAAGCUGCAAGGGAGACAGAUGGGUACUUCAUCAAAGGUGGAAUCGUUACUGUGAUCAAGGAUGCUUUGCUCCCAAGCGGAACAGUUAUAUGAAGUAGAUGUGCAACAUCCACCCGAGGGUCAUCGACAAUCAUCAGCACCCAGUUGCUUGAUCUGCUGACCAUGUCUUGGAGACCAUGGAAACAAUAAACGAACUGCCAUUCAAGGCACUGUUUCUUUGUUUUUUUUCUCAUUGUUCUUUUGUCAUCUUUAAUAUUCUAGGAUAUAAUGUUGUAGCCGCACAUGUUCUGCAUAUGUUGGGAUCGAAAUUGCAUGCCUGGAUUUGGGAUACCUCUUUGAUGUUGUGUAAUUAUUAGUUUAAUUAUCAUGCUUUGCUGCCA
This is a long non-coding RNA of Panicum virgatum (switchgrass), 417 nucleotides long. RefSeq lists it as uncharacterized. The transcript has 2 exons. The record is from RefSeq and is a predicted model, not a curated record. NCBI's taxonomy places the organism in Eukaryota, Viridiplantae, Streptophyta, Magnoliopsida, Poales, Poaceae.